UGAAUUCAUCUCCGGGGGUAGAGCACUGUUUCGGCUAGGGGGCCAUCCCGGCUUACCAACCCGAUGCAAACUGCGAAUACCGGAGAAUGUUAUCACGGGAGACACACGGCGGGUGCUAACGUCCGUCGUGAAGAGGGAAACAACCCAGACCGCCAGCUAAGGUCCCAAAGUCAUGGUUAAGUGGGAAACGAUGUGGGAAGGCCCAGACAGCCAGGAUGUUGGCUUAGAAGCAGCCAUCAUUUAAAGAAAGCGUAAUAGCUCACUGGUCGAGUCGGCCUGCGCGGAAGAUGUAACGGGGCUAAACCAUGCACCGAAGCUGCGGCAGCGACGCUGAUGCGUUGUUGGGUAGGGGAGCGUUCUGUAAGCCUGUGAAGGUGGCCUGUGAGGGUUGCUGGAGGUAUCAGAAGUGCGAAUGCUGACAUAAGUAACGAUAAAGCGGGUGAAAAGCCCGCUCGCCGGAAGACCAAGGGUUCCUGUCCAACGUUAAUCGGGGCAGGGUGAGUCGACCCCUAAGGCGAGGCCGAAAGGCGUAGUCGAUGGGAAACGGGUUAAUAUUCCCGUACUUGGUGUUACUGCGAAGGGGGGACGGAGAAGGCUAUGUUGGCCGGGCGACGGUUGUCCCGGUUUAAGCGUGUAGGUGUGUGUUCCAGGUAAAUCCGGUUCACUUUAACACUGAGGCGUGAUGACGAGGCACUACGGUG
RNAcentral lists this ribosomal RNA (701 nucleotides) under Salmonella enterica. Its description in RNAcentral is "partial 23S ribosomal RNA". It matches the Rfam family "Bacterial large subunit ribosomal RNA", at positions 885 to 1584 of the family's 2925-position model. The record is from RNAcentral. Lineage: Bacteria; Pseudomonadati; Pseudomonadota; Gammaproteobacteria; Enterobacterales; Enterobacteriaceae. RNAcentral also lists the same sequence under 1 other name.